Felis catus (domestic cat) is the source of this 389-nucleotide long non-coding RNA. RefSeq lists it as uncharacterized. NCBI's taxonomy places the organism in Eukaryota, Metazoa, Chordata, Mammalia, Carnivora, Felidae. The transcript has 2 exons. The record is from RefSeq and is a predicted model, not a curated record.
CAGGAGAAAGCGGAAGUGAGCGUGGCGGGGAGAGAGGGCUGGUCCAGGAUGCCCCGCCCCGAAGCCCCGCCCAUCCCCACGGGCCACGCCUCCUGCCGCCUGCCCUCUGGGGUCCCAACUGCUCCCCGGAGCCCGGUGGUCCCAACACCCCAAGGGAGUGACUUUUCCCACUCCCUGGCCCUGAGGCCCAGGCUCCGCUAUCUUUGUCUGUUUGACCUUGGACAAAGGAUCCGCCCCCUCAGCCUCAGACUCCCCACCGGCAAAGAACUGCUGAACUGUUUUCCAAAGCAUCUGCCACUUCUCAAGUCAUGGAACUCCUUGGUGCCUCAGUUUAUCCACCUGGAAAGGGCCUCAUAAAGUGCGAUGGGAAGUAAACUGUAUGAAAAGUA